RNAcentral lists this ribosomal RNA (440 nucleotides) under uncultured bacterium. Its description in RNAcentral is "partial 16S ribosomal RNA". It matches the Rfam family "Bacterial small subunit ribosomal RNA", at positions 338 to 795 of the family's 1533-position model. The record is from RNAcentral.
CCUACGGGUGGCAGCAGUGGGGGAUAUUGCACAAUGGGGGAAAGCCUGAUGCAGCGACGCCGCGUGAGUGAAGACGUAUUUCGGUAUGUAAAGCUCUAUUAGCAGGGAAGAAAAUGACAGUACGUGACCAAGAAGCCCCGGAUAACUUCGUGCCAGCAGCCGUGGUAAUACGUAGGGGGCAAGCGUUAUCCGGAUUUACUGGGUGUAAGGGGAGUGUAGACGGUAGAACAGGGCAGGAGUUAAAGGCCGGGGCUUAACCCCGGAAGUGCUUUUGAAACUGGGCAGCUAGAGUGCAGGCGAGGUAAGUGGAAUUCGUAGUGUAGCGGUGAAAUGCGUAGAUAUUAGGAGGAACACCGAUGGCGAAGGCAGCUUACUAGACUGUAACUGACGUUGAGGCUCGAAAGCGUGGGGAGCAAACAGGAUUAGAUACCCGGGUAGUC